RNAcentral lists this ribosomal RNA (492 nucleotides) under uncultured bacterium. RNAcentral describes it as "partial 16S ribosomal RNA". It matches the Rfam family "Bacterial small subunit ribosomal RNA", at positions 29 to 507 of the family's 1533-position model. The record is from RNAcentral.
AGUGAACGCUGGCGGUAGGCCUAACACAUGCAAGUCGAACGGCAGCACAGUAAGAGCUUGCUCUUACGGGUGGCGAGUGGCGGACGGGUGAGGAAUACAUCGGAAUCUACUUUUUCGUGGGGGCUAACGUAGGGAAACUUACGCUAAUACCGCAUACGACCUACGGGUGAAAGCAGGGGAUCUUCGGACCUUGCGCGAUUGAAUGAGCCGAUGUCGGAUUAGCUAGUUUGCGGGGUAAAGGCCCACCAAGGCGACGAUCCGUAGCUGGUCUGAGAGGAUCAUCAGCCACACUGGAACUGAGACACGGUACAGACUCCUACGGGAGGCAGCAGUGGGGAAUAUUGGACAAUGGGCGCAAGCCUGAUCCAGCCAUACCGCGUGGGUGAAGAAGGCCUUCGGGUUGUAAAGCCCUUUUGUUGGGAAAGAAAAGCAGCAGGUUAAUACCCCGCUGUUCUGACGGUACCCAAAGAAUAAGCACCGGCUAACUUCGUG